RNAcentral lists this ribosomal RNA (371 nucleotides) under uncultured bacterium. RNAcentral describes it as "bacterial SSU rRNA". It matches the Rfam family "Bacterial small subunit ribosomal RNA", at positions 29 to 402 of the family's 1533-position model. The record is from RNAcentral.
AUUGAACGCUGGCGGCAUGCCUUACACAUGCAAGUCGAACGGCAGCACGGGAGCAAUCCUGGUGGCGAGUGGCGAACGGGUGAGUAAUACAUCGGAACGUGCCCUGUAGUGGGGGAUAACCCGGCGAAAGCCGGACUAAUACCGCAUGAGACCUGAGGGUGAAAGCGGGGGAUCGAAAGACCUUGCGCUAUGGGAGCGGCCGAUGUCAGAUUAGCUAGUUGGGGGGUAAAGGCCUACCAAGGCGACGAUCUGUAGCUGGUCUGAGAGGACGACCAGCCACACUGGGACUGAGACACGGCCCAGACUCCUACGGGAGGCAGCAGUGGGGAAUUUUGGACAAUGGGCGCAAGCCUGAUCCAGCCAUGCCGCGU